Non-coding RNA from Myotis lucifugus (little brown bat), 76 nucleotides. Lineage: Eukaryota; Metazoa; Chordata; Mammalia; Chiroptera; Vespertilionidae. The record is from Rfam.
GGCAGUUCUCAGGUGAUGCACCCCGGAAUCGGGCUCCCUCCUCUCUGGUUCUGGGGUGCGUCACCCGAGAACCACC